GAAUUGGAUAGACCGUGGAAAGGGACACAAAUGCCUUGUGAGGCUGCGGACCGCCAGCUCUUUCAGUCCUGCACCAAAAUUUCCGUGGGAAGUGGAGUAAGGACUGCUUUCUGGUCUGAUCAAUGGAUAGAUGGGAUGGCACCUAUGGAGCUGGCUCCUGGUCUCUUUAACCUUGCAAGACACAAGCAAAUCUCAGUUGCGGAUGCUAUCUGGGAGGGCGGUUGGAUGAAAGGUCUACAGCGCAUGACCACUGUUGAUCUGCUGCAUUCCUUUGUCACUCUUUGGCAUAAAGUUCAACAAUUCCAAGCGAACGAGGAGGAUGACAAGAUUACUUGGAAUCUCACGGCCAAUGGAGACUACUCUGCCAAGUCGGCCUAUGAACAACUAUUCAUUGCUCGGAUCCCAAUGCCACGUUUGCUCAAAAUGUGGAAGAUUAAAUGUGAAUCAAAAGUUAAAAUUUUCAUUUGGACUUUAAUCCAGAAUAGGCUUUGGACGGCUGAUCGCUUGCAACGCAGAGGUUGGGAACAUCAGGCCACUUGCUAUGCCUGUGAUCAGGUCCUGGAGUCAGCUACCCACCUCAUUUUGGGAUGUACUUUUGCUAAGGAGGUCUAG
Molecule: ribosomal RNA, 612 nt
Filed under: Triticum aestivum (bread wheat)
Lineage: Eukaryota; Viridiplantae; Streptophyta; Magnoliopsida; Poales; Poaceae
Description: partial small subunit ribosomal RNA
Source: RNAcentral